AAUUUUGGACAAUGGGGGAAACCCUGAUCCAGCCAUCCCGCGCGUAUGAUGAAGGCCUUCGGGUUGUAUAGUACUUUUGGCAGAGAAGAAAAGGUAUCUCCUAAUACGAGAUACCGCUGACGGUAUCUGCUGAAAAAGCACCGGCCAACUACGUCCCAGCAGCCGCGGUAAUACUGAGGUUUCAAGCUUUAAUCGGAAUUACUGGGUGUAAAGCGUGUGGUAGCGGGUCGGAAAGGAAAAUGUAAAAUCCCAAGGCUCAACCUUUGAAUUGCAUUUUUAACUGCCGAGCUAGAGUAUGUCGGAGGGGGGUAGAAUUCCACGUGUAGCAGUGAAAUGCGUAGAUAUGUGGGGGAAUACCGAUGGCGAGGGCAGCCCCCUGGGAUAAUACUGACGCUCAGACACGAAAGCGUGGGGAGCAAACA
RNAcentral lists this ribosomal RNA (422 nucleotides) under uncultured bacterium. RNAcentral describes it as "partial 16S ribosomal RNA". It matches the Rfam family "Bacterial small subunit ribosomal RNA", at positions 360 to 774 of the family's 1533-position model. The record is from RNAcentral.